GACAGAGGGUGCAAACGUUGCUCGGAAUUACUGGGCGUAAAGCGCGUGUAGGCUGACCGGAAAGUCGGGCGUGAAAUCCCUGGGCUCAACCCAGGAACUGCACUCGAAACUCCCGGUCUUGAGUGGUGGAGAGGGAAGUGGAAUUCCUGGUGUAGAGGUGAAAUUCGUAGAUAUCAGGAGGAACACCAGUGGCGAAGGCGGCUUCCUGGACACCAACUGACGCUGAGGUGCGAAAGCGUGGGGAGCAAACAGG
RNAcentral lists this ribosomal RNA (253 nucleotides) under uncultured bacterium. RNAcentral's name for it is "partial 16S ribosomal RNA". It matches the Rfam family "Bacterial small subunit ribosomal RNA", at positions 524 to 776 of the family's 1533-position model. The record is from RNAcentral.